This 445-nucleotide ribosomal RNA is filed under the name uncultured bacterium. Its description in RNAcentral is "partial 16S ribosomal RNA". It matches the Rfam family "Bacterial small subunit ribosomal RNA", at positions 354 to 796 of the family's 1533-position model. The record is from RNAcentral.
GUAAGGAAUAUUGGUCAAUGGAGGCAACUCUGAACCAGCCAUGCCGCGUGCAGGAAGACGGCCCUCUGGGUUGUAAACUGCUUUUAUCCGGGAAUAAACCUGCCUUCGUGAAGGUAGCUGAAUGUACCGGAAGAAUAAGGAUCGGCUAACUCCGUGCCAGCAGCCGCGGUAAUACGGAGGAUCCAAGCGUUAUCCGGAUUCAUUGGGUUUAAAGGGUGCGUAGGCGGCCUGUUAAGUCAGGGGUGAAAGACGGUGGCUCAACCAUCGCAGUGCCCUUAAUACUGAUGGGCUUGAAUGGACUAGAGGUAGGCGGAAUGUGACAAGUAGCGGUGAAAUGCAUAGAUAUGGCACAGAACACCGAUUGCGAAGGCAGCUUACUAUGGUCCUAUUGACGCUGAGGCACGAAAGCGUGGGGAUCGAACAGGAUUAGAUACCCCUGUAGUCC